GUGCCAGCCGCCGCGGUAAUACCGGCAGCCCGAGUGAUGGCCGAUCUUAUUGGGCCUAAAGCGUCCGUAGCUGGCUGCGCAAGUCCGUCGGGAAAUCCACCUGCCCAACAGGUGGGCGUCCGGCGGAAACUGUGUGGCUUGGAACCGGAAGGCUCAGAGGGUACGUCCGGGGUAGGAGUGAAAUCCCGUAAUCCCGGACGGACCGCCGAUGGCGAAAGCACGUCGCGAGAACGGAUCCGACAGUGAGGGACGAAAGCUAGGGUCUCGAACCGGAUUAGAUACCCGGGUAGUCC
RNAcentral lists this ribosomal RNA (293 nucleotides) under uncultured bacterium. RNAcentral's name for it is "partial 16S ribosomal RNA". It matches the Rfam family "Archaeal small subunit ribosomal RNA", at positions 455 to 747 of the family's 1478-position model. The record is from RNAcentral.